Molecule: transfer RNA, 76 nt
Filed under: Candidatus Magasanikbacteria bacterium RIFCSPHIGHO2_01_FULL_33_34
Lineage: Bacteria; Candidatus Magasanikiibacteriota
Also listed under: 3 other names
Description: tRNA-Lys
Rfam family: tRNA
About the family: Transfer RNA (tRNA) molecules are approximately 80 nucleotides in length. Their secondary structure includes four short double-helical elements and three loops (D, anti-codon, and T loops).
Source: RNAcentral
GGGUCGCUAGCUCAGUUGGUAGAGCAGAUCCCUCUUAAGGAUAAGGUCCUGGGUUCAAUCCCCAGGCGACCCACAA